RNAcentral lists this ribosomal RNA (497 nucleotides) under uncultured bacterium. RNAcentral describes it as "partial 16S ribosomal RNA". It matches the Rfam family "Bacterial small subunit ribosomal RNA", at positions 28 to 507 of the family's 1533-position model. The record is from RNAcentral.
GAUGAACGCUGGCGGCGUGCCUAAUACAUGCCAGUCGAGCGAACGGACGAGAAGCUUGCUUCUCUGCUGUUAGCGGCGGACGGGUGAGUAACACGUGGAUAACCUACCUAUAAGACUGGGAUAACUUCGGGAAACCGGAUCUAAUACCGGAUCAUAUUUUGAACCGCAUGGUUCAAAAGUGAAAGACGGUCUUGCUGUCACUUAUAGAUGGAUCCGCGCUGCAUUAGCUAGUUGGUAAGGUAACGGCUUACCAAGGCAACGAUGCAUAGCCGACCUGAGAGGGUGAUCGGCCACACUGGAACUGAGACACGGUCCAGACUCCUACGGGAGGCAGCAGUAGGGAAUCUUCCGCAAUGGGCGAAAGCCUGACGGAGCAACGCCGCGUGAGUGAUGAAGGUCUUCGGAUCGUAAAACUCUGUUAUUAGGGAAGAACAUAUGUGUAAGUAACUGUGCACAUCUUGACGGUACCUAAUCAGAAAGCCACGGCUAACUACGUG